RNAcentral lists this ribosomal RNA (468 nucleotides) under uncultured bacterium. RNAcentral's name for it is "partial 16S ribosomal RNA". It matches the Rfam family "Bacterial small subunit ribosomal RNA", at positions 28 to 507 of the family's 1533-position model. The record is from RNAcentral.
GACGAACGCUGGCGGCGUGCUUAACACAUGCAAGUCGAACGGAAAGGCCCUGCUUUUGUGGGGUGCUCGAGUGGCGAACGGGUGAGUAACACGUGAGUAACCUGCCCUUGACUUUGGGAUGACUUCAGGAAACUGGGGCUAAUACCGUAUAGGAGCUCCUGCUGCAUGGUGGGGGUUGGAAAGUUUCGGCGGUUGGGGAUGGACUCGCGGCUUAUCAGCUUGUUGGUGGGGUAGUGGCUUACCAAGGCUUUGACGGGUAGCCGGCCUGAGAGGGUGACCGGCCACAUUGGGACUGAGAUACGGCCCAGACUCCUACGGGAGGCAGCAGUGGGGAAUAUUGCACAAUGGGCGGAAGCCUGAUGCAGCAACGCCGCGUGCGGGAUGACGGCCUUCGGGUUGUAAACCGCUUUCGCCUGUGACGAAGCGUGAGUGACGGUAAUGGGUAAAGAAGCACCGGCUAACUACGUG